Long non-coding RNA from Ananas comosus (pineapple), 570 nucleotides. RefSeq lists it as uncharacterized. The transcript is spliced from 3 exons. The record is from RefSeq and is a predicted model, not a curated record. Lineage: Eukaryota; Viridiplantae; Streptophyta; Magnoliopsida; Poales; Bromeliaceae.
UCAUCCUCUCCCACUCUUACACUCUUUUCCCUCUCUCUCUCUAGAAAGAAAGAAAGAAAGAAGAAGGAAAGGAGAAGGAAAAGAAAGGAAAAAGAGAAGGAAGAAGGAAGGAGAAGAAGACCAAGAAGAGGAAGAUCAUCUUCUUCCUCCUCUCCCUCAACCUUGGAGAAGCUUUUGGAGGAAGCGACGGUUCGUCAAUUCGUUGAGCGGGUGCGACGUUCCGGCUGAAACAAGUGCUAAAAGGUCCGUUUUGGCCGAGGAGCCGAGGCGGCGUGCAAAGACCGCGGAGACAAGUUUUCUAACCUUGCGGCGUUACCAAAAGGUACUAGUUCGAGUGUCCCGACCGAGCGGGAGGAUCGCGGCAAGGGCAUAGCGCCCUAGCGGUAUCAGUUGAUAGUUUUACCUUUCCUACUUGCAUUAGCUCUAUACCCUGUACUUUUGUUUAUAUCUUGAGAGUAGAUCUUGUAUAGGGUGAGGUUUGAGAGCAUAUGAUGUAUUUAUAUUUUGGAGAAAAAGAAUGCAAGUUGUAUCGAUGCUUAAAGUUUAAUGAAAUUGAAAGAGCUUAAACAA